RNAcentral lists this ribosomal RNA (491 nucleotides) under uncultured bacterium. RNAcentral's name for it is "bacterial SSU rRNA". It matches the Rfam family "Bacterial small subunit ribosomal RNA", at positions 29 to 517 of the family's 1533-position model. The record is from RNAcentral.
AUUGAACGCUGGCGGCAUGCCUUACACAUGCAAGUCGAGCGGCAGCGCGGGGCAACCUGGCGGCGAGCGGCGAACGGGUGAGUAACACAUCGGAACGUGCCCAGACGUGGGGGAGUAGCCCGGCGAAAGACCGGAUUAAUACCGCAUACGAUCUGAGGAUGAAAGCGGGGGAUCGCAAGACCUCGCGCGUUUGGAGCGGCCGAUGGCAGAUUAGGUAGUUGGUGGGGUAAAGGCUUACCAAGCCUGCGAUCUGUAGCUGGUCUGAGAGGAUGAUCAGCCACACUGGGACUGAGACACGGCCCAGACUCCUACGGGAGGCAGCAGUGGGGAAUUUUGGACAAUGGGCGCAAGCCUGAUCCAGCCAUUCCGCGUGCAGGACGAAGGCCUUCGGUUGUAAACUGCUUUGUACGGAACGAAAGCCCUUCUCUAAUACAGAGGGGUCAUGACGGUACCGUAAGAAUAAGCACCGGCUAACUACGUGCCAGCAGCCG